GUGGGAUAGAGCCAAACAGAGUGACGUUGUGGUACUAUCACCUUACAGAGUUCAGGUCGAGGUAAUCCGACAGGAGAUGAGGAAGAGAAGCCUACACGCUGUGACGGUUGAGACAGUGCAGAAUGUGCAAGGGAAGCAGUAUCGCGCUGUCUUUUUGAGCACUGUGAGAAC
Long non-coding RNA from Strongylocentrotus purpuratus (purple sea urchin), 171 nucleotides. RefSeq lists it as uncharacterized. NCBI's taxonomy places the organism in Eukaryota, Metazoa, Echinodermata, Echinoidea, Camarodonta, Strongylocentrotidae. The transcript has 3 exons. The record is from RefSeq and is a predicted model, not a curated record.